GCCGAAGUGGCGGAACUGGUAUACGCGCACGGUUUAGGACCGUGUUCCCAAAAGGAAUGGAGGUUCAAGUCCUCUCUUCGGCACUA
This 86-nucleotide transfer RNA is filed under the name Candidatus Daviesbacteria bacterium RIFCSPHIGHO2_01_FULL_38_8. RNAcentral describes it as "tRNA-Leu". It matches the Rfam family "tRNA". From Rfam's summary of the family: Transfer RNA (tRNA) molecules are approximately 80 nucleotides in length. Their secondary structure includes four short double-helical elements and three loops (D, anti-codon, and T loops). Further hydrogen bonds mediate the characteristic L-shaped molecular structure. tRNAs have two regions of fundamental functional importance: the anti-codon, which is responsible for specific mRNA codon recognition, and the 3' end, to which the tRNAs corresponding amino acid is attached (by aminoacyl-tRNA synthetases). tRNAs cope with the degeneracy of the genetic code in two manners: having more than one tRNA (with a specific anti-codon) for a particular amino acid; and 'wobble' base-pairing, i.e. permitting non-standard base-pairing at the 3rd anti-codon position. Lineage: Bacteria; Candidatus Daviesiibacteriota. The record is from RNAcentral.